This 1471-nucleotide ribosomal RNA is filed under the name Ureaplasma sp. canine oral taxon 315. RNAcentral describes it as "bacterial SSU rRNA". It matches the Rfam family "Bacterial small subunit ribosomal RNA". The record is from RNAcentral. Lineage: Bacteria; Bacillati; Mycoplasmatota; Mycoplasmoidales; Mycoplasmoidaceae.
GAGUUUGAUCCUGGCUCAGGAUUAACGCUGGCGGCAUGCCUAAUACAUGCAAAUCGAACGAAGCCUUUUAGGCUUAGUGGUGAACGGGUGAGUAACACGUAUCCAAUCUACCCUUAAGUUGGGGAUAACUAGUCGAAAGAUUAGCUAAUACCGAAUAAUAACAUUUGUUCGCAUGAACGAAUGUAGAAAGUUGCGCUUGCAACGCUUUUGGAUGAGGGUGCGACGUAUCAGAUAGUUGGUGAGGUAAUGGCUCACCAAGUCAAUGACGCGUAGCUGUACUGAGAGGUAGAACAGCCACAAUGGGACUGAGACACGGCCCAUACUCCUACGGGAGGCAGCAGUAGGGAAUUUUUCACAAUGGACGAAAGCCUUAUGAAGCAAUGCCGCGUGAACGACGAAGGUCUUAUAGAUUGUAAAGUUCUUUUAUUUGGGAAGAACCACUAAAAUAGGAAAUGAUUUUAGUUUGACUGUACCAUUUGAAUAAGUAUCGGCUAACUAUGUGCCAGCAGCCGCGGUAAUACAUAGGAUGCAAGCGUUAUCCGGAUUUACUGGGCGUAAAACGAGCGCAGGCGGGUCUGCAAGUUUGGUAUGAAAUCUAGAUGCUUAACGUCUAGCUGUAUCAAAAACUGCAAACCUAGAGUGUAGUAGGGAGUUGGGGAACUCCAUGUGGAGCGGUAAAAUGCGUAGAUAUAUGGAAGAACACCGGUGGCGAAGGCGCCAACUUAGACUAUCACUGACGCUUAGGCUCGAAAGUGUGGGGAGCAAAUAGGAUUAGAUACCCUAGUAGUCCACACCGUAAACGAUGAUCAUUAAAUGUCGGCCCGAAUGGGUCGGUGUUGUAGCUAACGCAUUAAAUGAUCUGCCUGGGUAGUACAUUCGCAAGAAUGAAACUCAAAGGAAUUGACGGGGACCCGCACAAGUGGUGGAGCAUGUUGCUUAAUUUGACAAUACACGUAGAACCUUACCUAGGUUUGACAUCUAUUGCAAUGCUAUAGAAAUAUAGCGGAGGUUAACAAUAUGACAGGUGGUGCAUGGUUGUCGUCAGCUCGUGUCGUGAGAUGUUGGGUUAAGUCCCGCAACGAGCGCAACCCCUUUCGUUAGUUACUUUAUCUAGCGAUACUGCUGCUGCAAAGCAGAGGAAGGUGGGGAUGACGUCAAAUCAUCAUGCCCCUUAUAUCUAGGGCUGCAAACGUGCUACAAUGGCUAAUACAAACUGUUGCAAACUCGUAAGAGUAAGCCAAUCAGAUAAAGUUAGUCUCAGUUCGGAUAGAGGGCUGCAAUUCGCCCUCUUGAAGUUGGAAUCACUAGUAAUCGCGAAUCAGACAUGUCGCGGUGAAUACGUUCUCGGGUCUUGUACACACCGCCCGUCAAACUAUGGGAGCUGGUAAUAUCUAAAACCGUAUUGCUAACCGCAAGGAGGCGUACGUCUAGGGUAGGAUCGGUGACUGGAGUUAAGUCGUAACAAGGUAAC